UGCAUCACCACUUCUAAGAACCCCAGUUCUAAGAAUCAACAGAGCUCAAUUCUCGGAAUUUGAGCUGCGGACUUUACCACUGCUGAGUGGCAGGGGAGGACUCGGUGUCAGCUCGCCGGGAUUUUUGCCGGCUCUGUCCCCUAAAACGGCCUCAAAGCCACAAUGUUUUCCUAUACUUCAGUAUAUUUCGAGGUCCUCAUAAGCUAGGUGUCUCAAAUUUGGAGGUUUCUUUUCAAGGCUAGAGGGGCCAGAAACUGGCCCUCCCUCCCCAAGCUUGGAAUAAUGGUACAGCCUGCUCCGCCACCGUCACGUGGGCCCCUCCUCUGUGACGUCGGCAUCUUUGCUGUAGCGAAGCUCGGCCUCUGGAAUUCUGAGAACUAAUUUGCUAUUCGGUGACAUAAGAAGGGGGAGUGCGCUUUGCUUUCCCGGGGUCUGGGGCUAAUUCCUCCUCUCUUGCCCACAAAUUCAACCUCUUCUCCAUCAGCUCCUCGAGCUAAAUGCACAAAAGGAGACAAGAGGUUUGAACCACUGGAAAAACAGAAUUGAGGAAGAAAGCAAGACUGCGUGGAGCUCUGUGUAAACUCUGAACUGGGUCUCAGAACAAACUCCAAGCAAGUCAUGAUGGAAACCUUUCAGCUGCCUGAAAUUCGAGUCAUGAAACUGUUCCCGAGGUCAGAAUACAGAUGCUGGGUGCAUGCUUCCUGCGUGUCAGUGUCUAUGGAACGUGUACAUGCGGAGACGCACACGCAAACGUAACUCCACGGGGCACCGUGUAAGGGAGAAGGGGGAAAAAAAAAAAACUGGAUUUGUUGCCAAGAAAACCGCGGUUUCUAAUUACAGCCCUGCCUCGGACUCCUUAUGGGACCUUGACCUAGUCAGGACUUGAUUUCCUCAACUGUGUGAAAAAAAUAACCCAGAUGAUUCUCAGGAUAUCUACCUGCUCUAUAGUCUGUACCUUUUUACCUAAUGCAUAUUUACCUAACUCGAAGGUGGGGGGAGCUUGGAAAGAAGCCUUGUGUGUAUGUGUGGCCGGAGUGAGGGAAGGGGUUAAAAUGUAAACUUGUAAGUAAAGCCGCUGCCCUGGAAUCCUCACUUCUAUCAAUUUUUAACCAGUUAUAGACCAAAGUCUGGGAUCAUGCUGAGUGAGUCCAAAAGCCAAUUGAAAAUUUUCGGUGUUAGAGUUGGAGGAGACAGGUUCUAAGACCUUGUACCUUUGAUCUCUAGCAUGCAUAAUCGGAUGUGACAGUUCCCAAGUGUUUCUCUGCCCUAUAGUUGUUUCUUUUUUUUCCUGUUUGGAAACCGUCCCAGUCAAUGAUAGGAAGGAGAUGACACUUGUAUGCUAGGCAGGCUUUAAGCCACUAGGCCCCAUGUGGAUGUGAAAAAUAUGUCAUAACACUCACAAAGAAAGAAAGAAAAAAAAAAACCUAGAGAGAGAUUCCUGGUAAGAAACUUAGAGAUGGUUCCACAAUCACUGUAUUAUAGGUAGUUACUUGAAG
Molecule: long non-coding RNA, 1496 nt
Organism: Loxodonta africana (African savanna elephant)
Lineage: Eukaryota; Metazoa; Chordata; Mammalia; Proboscidea; Elephantidae
Exons: 3
Source: RefSeq, a predicted model, not a curated record